AAAACAAUAACAAACUAACAGUAAACAUAAAUACUUUGAAAAAAAUCACGAGUCUCAAAACAAUUUAUAUGAAAAUGCAAAAAUAAAUCCAAGCACUACAAGUAACAUAAAAAACUGAAAUGCUGUCAACACACUAGAAAAUAUAAUACUAUGAUUGAAAAAUAAAAUACUGGAUAGACACAUAAGAGACAGGGUUCUCAUUAAAAACAAUUCAAAUGAUCCCAAUUUUGAAAAAACUCAUCCUUUUUGUCCAUAGUGAGUCCAAAGUUCUGAAAAACUUUAAUAUGAACAAAGUUAACAUUUUUUUAAAGACUUACAUUUUUUGUAAUUCACUUAAAAUUACCAUUUAGAUCUUCUGGUCAAAACAAAAUGGAGAGUUUACAUAACAAAUUAGCUUGAAUUGUGAAUUAUCUAUUUUGAAAAUUUUGACUUGCUCUCAAUUCAUGGAACCAUCUUACUUAGUGAGUAACCUACAUGUACACUGGAGCUUAUAUCUCCUAAAUAUGUGUACUGUCACUUUUUUAUCAUCAUCAAAUCUAAGGGAAGAUAUAUUAUCAGUGCUUACUUGUACAAUCUGUAGUUUGUUACAAUAUAUUGGUAAAUGGUUCCAUAAUCAAUGCUGUUUCAAUAUCUUCUGUAUAAAAUAUGAUUAGCAUAAUAUACAAUGUUGUUUAAAUGGUACUGUAUAAAAUAUGCUCAAUAUGAGAAGUACAUUAUGUAUUUCUACUGUAAAUAUUUUAGCACCUACAUUUGUACAUAAUAUUUUUUUUUAUUAUGUUUAUUAAAUAAUACAUUGUAUAAUCAAAUGAUAUGAAACUGCUACAUGUAUAAUAAACAAGAUCUGCAUAACAUAUUUUUAACCCUUUCCCUUUCAUGCAUUUUAGACCUUUACUUAUCGAAAAUACAUUAUCGAAGUUUAAAUGAAUACAGAAUUCGC
RNAcentral lists this long non-coding RNA (937 nucleotides) under Mytilus galloprovincialis (Mediterranean mussel). Lineage: Eukaryota; Metazoa; Mollusca; Bivalvia; Mytilida; Mytilidae. The record is from RNAcentral.